This 348-nucleotide ribosomal RNA is filed under the name Triticum aestivum (bread wheat). RNAcentral's name for it is "partial small subunit ribosomal RNA". The record is from RNAcentral. Lineage: Eukaryota; Viridiplantae; Streptophyta; Magnoliopsida; Poales; Poaceae.
AUGGCCUCCUCUAGCGCAGCCAACUCCACCCUCUCUGGCCAGAUCACCGAACACCUCACCCGAACCAACUACAUCCUAUGGCGAACCCAAAUCACAGCAUAGCUUCGGGGGGGGGGGGUUCUUUGGCUACGUAACGGGAGCAUGCCGGAGCCGGCCAAGGUCGUCGUCAGCAAGGACAAGGAUGGCAAGGAGGAGUCCAUCCCCAACCCGAUUCACUCGGUUUGGAUCCGAGAGGAUCAGCAGGUGCUUCGUUACCUUCUGAAUAACCUCUCCAAAGAAGUGCUUGUGCAGGUGACCUCGAUCGCUCAUGCGCACGAACUCUGGACAGCGUUAGCAAGCAUGUUCUCG